UAUAGGGUUUCUCUCCUGUGUGAAUGAUCUGAUGUCGAAUGAGGGAUGAACUCCGGCUGAAGGCUCUUCCACAUUGAUAGCAUUCAUAGGAAUGCACUAAGACAAUGCCACUUGGCUAUCCUACUACUGUCUUCCAACUCAAUAAACGAGCCUGAGAAUUUUCAUCUUUAAUGUGGAAAGAACCUCCCUCAAUGUCCUUACUUGUUUGACACAGAAAGAGAGGCAGAGACACAGACAGAGGGAGAAGCAGUCUCCAUGCAGGGAGCCCGAUGCGGGACCCGAUCCCGGGUCUCCAGGAUCACACCCCAGGCUGCAAGCCGCGCCAAACCGCUGUGCCACCAGGGCUGCCCUGUUUCUGCCUCUUAAGUGUAUACUGGGUAUGUGGGCAGAUAAUCUAUAUUUUAAUUCAUAGAUCUUCAGUGAGAGAGAAACCUCUUCUAAACCUGUACCUAAUUUAGGUGGUGAGAUCCUGGACUUCAAGCUUGAUCCAUAAUGAGAUGACGUCUCUUAGGAGAGAGUAAGUGUAUUUAACAAGGGAGAGGAAAAUAAUUAUUUGUGUCCAGAGACAGACCAAGUAGAUCAAAAUGGUUGCACAUUCAUAAAAACCCACAGUUAACAUUGCACUCUAAGGGGGAAAAACAGAGCUCUUCCUCUAAGAUCAAGACAAGGAUGUCCACUCUCACCACUUUCAUUCAACAUAGUACUGAAAGUCCUAGCCACAGCAAUCAGAGAAGAAUAAGAAAUAAGAGGCAUUCAUAUUGGUAAAUAUGAAGUAAAACUCUAUUUGCAGAUGACAUGAUGCUAUAUAUAAAAAACCAUAAAGACUCAAACAAAAAACUACCAGAACUAAUAAUUUAGUACAGCUGCAGGAUACAAAAUUAAUAUUACAGAAAUCUGUUGCAAUCUUAAAAUGAAGUAGCAGAAAGAGAAAUUAAGAAAAUAAACCAAAUGGGAGGAGUGGGGAAGGGAGGAGAGGGAAAGGAAUGGAGGAAGGAAGCAAACAGUCCUGUUUACAAUUGCACCGAAAAGAACUAAAUAUAUAGGGGAAGUGAGUGGAGGGAUGGAGUAACUGGGUGAUGGGCAUUAAGAAGGGCACUUGAAGUAAUGAGCACUGGGUGUUGUAUGCAACUGAUGAAUCACUAAAUUCUUCUGCUGAAACUAAUAAUACAGUAGAUGUUAAUUAAACUGAAUUUAAAUCAAAAAUAGAAAAGAAUAAAAAAUACAGGAAUAAAUUUAAUCAAGAGUCAAACACCUACACUCUGAAAACAUAAAACGGUACUGAAAAAUGACUUGAAGCUAAUAACACUAAGAAAUGGAAGGAUAUCCCACGUUCAUGGAUUGGGAGAGCCAGUAUGUUAAAAUGUCCAUACUACCCAAAGCAAUUUACAGAUUUAAUGCAACCCCUAUAAAAAUACCAAUAGCAAUUUUCACAGAACUAGAGCAAAGAAUAGUAAAAUUUGUACAGAACCACAAAAGACCCCAAAUAGCCAACCAAUCUUGAAAAAGAAGAACAAACCAGAAGGUAUCAAGACAUACUAUGCAAAACUGUAGUAAUUAAAACAAUGGUACUGGCAUAAAAAAAUAGACACAUAGACUAACAGAACAAAAUAGAGAGCCAGAAAUAAACCCACAGUUUUAUGAUAAUUGAUCUAAGACAAAGGAGGCAAGAAUACACAAUGGGAAAAAGAUGGUCUCUUCAACAAAUGGUGAUGGGAAAACUGGACAGCUACACGAAAAAGAAUGAAACUGGACCCCUUUCUAACACUAUAUACAAAAUUUAACUAAAAAUGAAUUAAAGACAAAAAUGUGAGACCUGAAACCAAAGAAUUCCUAAAAGAAAACAUAGGCAGUAGUUUCUCUGUCAUUGGUCAUAGCACCAUUUUUCCAGAUAUGUGUCCUUUGGCAAGGAAAACAAAAGCAAAAAUAAACUAUUGACACUACACCAAAGUAAAAAAUAUUUUGUACAGUGAAGGAAACCAUCAACAAAAUUAAGGACAACCUACUGAAUGGGAGAAGCUAUUUUGAUUUUUAAAAAUUUUUUAAAGAUUUUAUCUAUUUGAGAGAGAGAGAGUGAGAGCAUGAGCAAAGGUGAAGUGUAGAGGGAGAAGUUGACGAUGCAGUGAGCAGGGAAGCCCAAGAUGGGAGUUGAUCCCAGGAUCAUGACCUGAGCUGAAGGCAGACACUUAACCAACUGAGCUAGCCAGAUGCCCUGAGAAGGUAUUUUCAAAUCACAUAUCCAAUAAAGGGUUAGAAUCCAAAGUAUAUAAAGAACUUAUACAACUCAACAUGAAAAAAAAACCCCAAUAACAAUCCAAUUCUAAAAUGCACAGAGGACCUGAAUAGAUAUUUUUCCAAAGCAGACAUUAGAUGGCUAACAGACACAUGAAAAGAUGUUCAACAUCACACAUCAUCAGAGAAAUGUAAAUCAAAACCACAAUGAGAUAUCACCUCACACUGGUCAAAAUGGCUAAAAUCAGAAACACAAAAAAUAAGUGCUGGCAAGGAUGUGGAGAAAAAGGAACCCUUGUGCACUGUUACAGGAAUGCCAGCUGGUAUAGCCACUAUAGAAAACAGCAUGGGGUUUCCUCAAAAAAUUAAAAAUAGAAAUCCUAUAUGAUCUAGUAAUUCCUCUACUGGAUAUUUAGCCAAAGAAAAGGAAAACACUAAUUCAAAAAAAUAUAUAUACCCUUAUGCUUAUGCAGAAUUAUUUAUAAUAGCCAAAAUAUAGAGGCAACCAAAAUGUUCAUCUAUAGAGGACUGAAUAAAGGCAAUGUGGUGUGUGUGUGUGUGUGUGUAUACACACAUACAUAAACACACGUAUAUACGCAUACAUAUACCCACACACGUGUAUACAUGUCUAUAUAUACAGACAUGUAUACAUAUAUAUACAUCCAUACAUACACAUAUGAUGGAAUACACUACUUACUAAGUCAUAAAAAAUAAUGAAAUCUCACCAUUUGCAACAACAUGAAUGGAUCUAAAGGGGAUCAUGGUAAGUAAAAUAAGCCAAAGACAAAUACCUUAAGAUUUCACUCGUAAGAGGAAUUUAAGAAAAAAAAAAAAACAAAGGAAAAAAGACAAACAAAAAACCAGAGUCUUAAAUACAAUGAACAAACUGGCACUUGUCAGAGGGGAGGUGAG
Nyctereutes procyonoides (raccoon dog) is the source of this 3141-nucleotide long non-coding RNA. RefSeq lists it as uncharacterized. NCBI's taxonomy places the organism in Eukaryota, Metazoa, Chordata, Mammalia, Carnivora, Canidae. The record is from RefSeq and is a predicted model, not a curated record. The transcript has 3 exons.